Molecule: ribosomal RNA, 429 nt
Filed under: Bacillota bacterium
Lineage: Bacteria; Bacillati; Bacillota
Description: Firmicutes bacterium partial 16S ribosomal RNA
Rfam family: Bacterial small subunit ribosomal RNA
Source: RNAcentral
UGGGGAAUUUUGGACAAUGGGCGAAAGCCUGAUCCAGCAAUGCCGCGUGUGUGAAGAAGGCCUUCGGGUUGUAAAGCACUUUUGUCCGGAAAGAAAUGGCUCUGGUUAAUACCUGGGGUCGAUGACGGUACCGGAAGAAUAAGGACCGGCUAACUACGUGCCAGCAGCCGCGGUAAUACGUAGGGUCCAAGCGUUAAUCGGAAUUACUGGGCGUAAAGCGCGCGCAGGCGGUUGUGCAAGACCGAUGUGAAAUCCCCGAGCUUAACUUGGGAAUUGCAUUGGUGACUGCACGGCUAGAGUGUGUCAGAGGGGGGUAGAAUUCCACGUGUAGCAGUGAAAUGCGUAGAGAUGUGGAGGAAUACCGAUGGCGAAGGCAGCCCCCUGGGAUAACACUGACGCUCAUGAACGAAAGCGUGGGGAGCAAACAGG